AGCAGCCGCGGUAAUUCCAGCUCCAAUAGCGUAUAUUAAAGUUGUUGCAGUUAAAAAGCUCGUAGUUGAACUUCAGGCCUGGCUGGACGGUCCGCCUUCCGGGCGAGCACUGUCCGUGGUCGGGUCCUACCUUCUGGCGAAGCGUCAUGGCCUUAACCGGCCGUGGCGGGGAACCAGGACUUUUACUGUGAAAAAAUUAGAGUGUUCAAAGCAGGCAAUUCGCUUGGAUACAUUAGCAUGGAAUAAUGGAAUAGGACAAUGGUUCUAUUUGUUGGUUUCUAGGGCUGUUGUAAUGAUUAAUAGGGAUAGUUGGGGGCAUUAGUAUUCAAUUGUCAGAGGUGAAAUUCUUGGAUUUAUUGAAGACUAACUACUGCGAAAGCAUUUGCCAAGGAUGUUUUCAUUAAUCAAGAACGAAAGUUAGGGGAUCGAAGACGAUCAGAUACCGUCGUAGUCUUAACCAUAAACUAUGCCGACUAGGAAUCGGGCGAUGUUGACAAAAUGACGCGACUCGGCACCUCAU
This 520-nucleotide ribosomal RNA is filed under the name uncultured Glomeromycotina. RNAcentral describes it as "SSU rRNA". It matches the Rfam family "Eukaryotic small subunit ribosomal RNA", at positions 569 to 1091 of the family's 1831-position model. The record is from RNAcentral. Lineage: Eukaryota; Fungi; Glomeromycota.